Molecule: ribosomal RNA, 379 nt
Filed under: Dicrateria sp. RCC5635
Lineage: Eukaryota; Haptophyta; Isochrysidales; Isochrysidaceae
Description: SSU rRNA
Rfam family: Eukaryotic small subunit ribosomal RNA
Source: RNAcentral
GCCCUUCCUUCCGGAGACGCCUCCUACUCUUAGCUUAGGGGGCGUGGAGACGGAUCUUUUACUUUGAAAAAAUCAUAGUGUUUCAAGCAGGCAUCAUCUCUCUUGCUUGGAUUAACAUGGGAUAAUGAAAUAGGACCUUUGGUGCUUUUUUGUUGGUUUCCAGCACCGAAGUAAUGAUUAAUAGGACAGUCAGGGGCACUCGUAUUCCGCCCAGAGAGGUGAAAUUCUCAGACCAGCGGAAGACGAACCACUGCCAAAGCAUUUGCCCCGGGAUGUUUUCACUGAUCAAGAACGAAAGUUAGGGGAUCGAAGACGACAGAUACGUCGUAGUCUUAACCUAAACCAUGCCGACCAGGGAUUGGAGGAUGUCCCCUUUUGA